GGGGUUGUAGUUAAAUAAUAACAUUUAAUUUGCAAUUAAAAAACACUGAAUAAUUAGUCCUCCUCA
This 66-nucleotide transfer RNA is filed under the name Dalsira scabrata. Its description in RNAcentral is "tRNA-Ala". It matches the Rfam family "tRNA". From Rfam's summary of the family: Transfer RNA (tRNA) molecules are approximately 80 nucleotides in length. Their secondary structure includes four short double-helical elements and three loops (D, anti-codon, and T loops). Further hydrogen bonds mediate the characteristic L-shaped molecular structure. tRNAs have two regions of fundamental functional importance: the anti-codon, which is responsible for specific mRNA codon recognition, and the 3' end, to which the tRNAs corresponding amino acid is attached (by aminoacyl-tRNA synthetases). tRNAs cope with the degeneracy of the genetic code in two manners: having more than one tRNA (with a specific anti-codon) for a particular amino acid; and 'wobble' base-pairing, i.e. permitting non-standard base-pairing at the 3rd anti-codon position. The record is from RNAcentral. Lineage: Eukaryota; Metazoa; Arthropoda; Insecta; Hemiptera; Pentatomidae.